UACGUAGGGGGCUAGCGUUGUCCGGAAUCAUUGGGCGUAAAGAGCGUGUAGGCGGCCCGGUAAGUCCGCUGUAAAAGUCAAAGGCUCAACCUUUGAAUGUCAGUGGAUACUGCCGGGCUAGAGUCCGGAAAAGGCGAGUGGAACUCCUGGUGUAGCGGUGGAAUGCGCAGAUAUCAGGAAGAACACCAACGGCGAAGGCAGCUCGCUGGGACGGUACUGACGCUGAGACGCGAAAGCGUGGGGAGCGAACAGG
RNAcentral lists this ribosomal RNA (253 nucleotides) under uncultured bacterium. RNAcentral's name for it is "partial 16S ribosomal RNA". It matches the Rfam family "Bacterial small subunit ribosomal RNA", at positions 524 to 776 of the family's 1533-position model. The record is from RNAcentral.